UAGGGAAUCUUCCGCAAUGGACGAAAGUCUGACGGAGCAACGCCGCGUGAGUGAAGAAGGUUUUCGGAUCGUAAAACUCUGUUGUUAGGGAAGAACAAGUGCCGUUCGAAUAGGGCGGCACCUUGACGGUACCUAACCAGAAAGCCACGGCUAACUACGUGCCAGCAGCCGCGGUAAUACGUAGGUGGCAAGCGUUGUCCGGAAUUAUUGGGCGUAAAGCGCGCGCAGGUGGUUUCUUAAGUCUGAUGUGAAAGCCCACGGCUCAACCGUGGAGGGUCAUUGGAAACUGGGGAACUUGAGUGCAGAAGAGGAAAGUGGAAUUCCAAGUGUAGCGGUGAAAUGCGUAGAUAUUUGGAGGAACACCAGUGGCGAAGGCGACUUUCUGGUCUGUAACUGACACUGAGGCGCGAAAGCGUGGGGAGCAAACAGGAUUAGAUACCCUGGUAGUCCACGCCGUAAACGAUGAGUGCUAAGUGUUAGAGGGUUUCCGCCCUUUAGUGCUGCAGCUAACG
This 512-nucleotide ribosomal RNA is filed under the name uncultured Bacillota bacterium. RNAcentral describes it as "bacterial SSU rRNA". It matches the Rfam family "Bacterial small subunit ribosomal RNA", at positions 355 to 857 of the family's 1533-position model. The record is from RNAcentral. Lineage: Bacteria; Bacillati; Bacillota.